AGCAUUUGCAGGCAAAUUAUACUCCAUGAGCUAAUUAGGAAGGGAUUGGGGCCCUUAGCCUUAAUUAAUAUCUAGUCCCUAACAACUUAAUCCUGGGUGAGAUCAUAGUAGGGAUUGCCCCUGAAUGCCGAAAUUCUUUCCUUCAACAAAUCACCUAUAUAAAUACAUAUAUUUUAAUAGCAGCAAUUAUAAAGUUCUCUGCCAACUUAUGGGGCUGUUUAACAUUCCUGGAUCGAGGCCACCGUUUUUUUUUUUUUUUCUCCCGGUCUCCUCCCUCCCCACAACCAAAGCCUAAUGAAUAGUAACGCUUUUGUGGCUCGGGCUUUCCGUUUCACCAGUAUCUCCUACCCAGUGGGUCUUCGCAGGGAGUUAAUAAGCAGUCUGGGAGGACUGCCUGAGGAGGUCCCGAACCUAAUGGUUAACUGCAAAGCCUAAUCAGUAUCUGCUUCCCACCCAGAGGCCCCCACAGCUACACGGUCCUGGUCCCUCCAGUAAUGGAUGGAAAAUCAGCGAUUUCCUGACAGUUAGCAACCAAUUUUCCACCAAUUAGAAGAGAGAUGGUGGUCUCUGGAGGCAGCUGGAUGGCGGCGUUGCACAGAACUGGAAGGAAGAGAGAUGAUCCUCGAAGCACCAGCACUCCGGCCCCCGCUCCUUAGGGUCCUAAAACAGAACAGCUCCACAGGCCUUCAGCAUCCACCACUGCCAAAGUGUGGGCGAGGACUCCGUGGCAGGAACAGCAAGCUCUUGUACACGGUAGGCGCACAGGACAUGCUGCUCUCCUCUGCUCCAGGGCCACAGCUCAGGGACAAAAGGAGGUGAGUAAAGACCUUGCUGACAAGCUUUUGAGUCAUGAAAGAGAGACAGAGUUGCCCUCCAUCAUUUCAGCACUUAUUAGAUGGGAUUGUACUCUCAAUUCUUGGACAACUGGCCAUUCCCCUCUCGGAAUUGUAGCCGAAUCAGAAAUCAGCCAUAGUACCCCCCUCAAGGAGCUCAGUGCUGGGGCAGGGGAGAGGCAGUGAUUGUUUCAUGAGCAUCCCCGGGCUCUGGGCUCUUGCUAGGAAGCUCUCGUGGACUGUCUUGCCUAGCACCUGGCGUCGGGCACGCAUGUACCAUAUCAUACAGACGGAGACCCUUCUGGAAGUGAAAGGGGGCACCCUCGCCAGCAGCCGAGGUUGAUGGGCACAAUUUAAGGCCGUCACAGGCUCGCUGGCACAGAGGGAUGGCCUGUCUCAAAGGCACGUGUC
RNAcentral lists this long non-coding RNA (1244 nucleotides) under Mustela putorius furo (domestic ferret). RNAcentral's name for it is "lncRNA (ENSMPUG00000026435.1)". Lineage: Eukaryota; Metazoa; Chordata; Mammalia; Carnivora; Mustelidae. The record is from RNAcentral.